AAAUUUCUAGUAAAAGGAAAAUCCGUUGAUUUAAAAUAUCGUGAGGGUUCAANNNCCUCUAUCCCCA
Molecule: transfer RNA, 67 nt
Filed under: Lechenaultia floribunda
Lineage: Eukaryota; Viridiplantae; Streptophyta; Magnoliopsida; Asterales; Goodeniaceae
Description: partial tRNA-Leu
Source: RNAcentral